UACGUAGGGUGCGAGCGUUAAUCGGAAUUACUGGGCGUAAAGCGUGCGCAGGCGGCGACAUAAGACAGAUGUGAAAUCCCCGGGCUCAACCUGGGAACUGCGUUUGUGACUGUGUUGCUAGAGUGUAGCAGAGGGGGGUGGAAUUCCACGUGUAGCAGUGAAAUGCGUAGAUAUGUGGAGGAACACCGAUGGCGAAGGCAGCCCCCUGGGUUAACACGGACGCGCAUGCAAGAAAGCGGGGGGAGCAAACAGGCUGCGAUAACACUGGAGUCC
Molecule: ribosomal RNA, 273 nt
Filed under: uncultured bacterium
Lineage: Bacteria
Description: partial 16S ribosomal RNA
Rfam family: Bacterial small subunit ribosomal RNA
Source: RNAcentral